AAACAGAAGAAAGCCAGGCUCUCAUAUGUCCAGUGUGUCUCAUAAACACAGCCGGUCUCACUAUAUACCAGGAAAUGACGCUCCCGCUGGUUGCUGAAGGAGAAGGCUGGCAUGGAGUGUUGUACGAGAGAUCUGGGAGGAGGAACCCAUGUUGACCUUGACUUGGCCUUCAGGGUAUCAUGCUUAUGCUGCCUAUGCUGGAGACUACCAAUUCUGAGGAUGAGUAGGACUUCAGAAUGUGGCUGUAUUUGGAGCUGCGACUUUUAAUGAGGAAAUUAAGGUAAAACAAGGUCUUUGGGGGUGGACCCUCAUCAGCAUGGCUGGUGUCCCUAUACGAAGAGGAAAUACAGACAAGGAUAUGAUCUGAGGGAAGAACAUGUGAGGACACAGGAGAAGGUGGUCGUCUAUCAGUCAAGCAGGGAGGCCUCAGAAGAAGCUAAUCUUGUGAAUAUUUGAUCUUGGGCUUUCAGUUUUCAGUUUCAGAACUGUGAGAGAAUAAAUGUUUGUUUAAGCUGCCUAAUCAGUGGUAUUUGUUACGCGGCUGAGCUGAGGAAUACAAGAAUGAUGAGAAG
Long non-coding RNA from Dama dama (fallow deer), 572 nucleotides. RefSeq lists it as uncharacterized. Lineage: Eukaryota; Metazoa; Chordata; Mammalia; Artiodactyla; Cervidae. The record is from RefSeq and is a predicted model, not a curated record. The transcript has 3 exons.